GACGAACGCUGGCGGCGUGCUUAACACAUGCAAGUCGAACGGAAAGGCCCUGCUUGCAGGGUACUCGAGUGGCGAACGGGUGAGUAACACGUGGGUGAUCUGCCCUGCACUUCGGGAUAAGCCUGGGAAACUGGGUCUAAUACCGGAUAGGAGCCAUUUUUAGUGUGAUGGUUGGAAAGUUUUUUCGGUGUAGGAUGAGCUCGCGGCCUAUCAGCUUGUUGGUGGGGUAAUGGCCUACCAAGGCGGCGACGGGUAGCCGGCCUGAGGGGGUGGACGGCCACAUUGGGACUGAGAUACGGCCCAGACUCCUACGGGAGGCAGCAGUGGGGAAUAUUGCACCAUGGGCGCAAGCCUGAUGCAGCGACGCCGCGUGGGGGAUGACGGCCUUCGGGUUGUAAACUCCUUUCGCUAGGGACGAAGCUUUUUGUGACGGUACCUAGAUAAGAAGCACCGGCUAACUACGUG
Molecule: ribosomal RNA, 465 nt
Filed under: uncultured bacterium
Lineage: Bacteria
Description: partial 16S ribosomal RNA
Rfam family: Bacterial small subunit ribosomal RNA
Source: RNAcentral